This 290-nucleotide long non-coding RNA is filed under the name Physcomitrium patens. Its description in RNAcentral is "long non-coding RNA (PPAT_LNC003337)". The record is from RNAcentral. Lineage: Eukaryota; Viridiplantae; Streptophyta; Bryopsida; Funariales; Funariaceae.
GUCAAAAUAUUGAUUUCACUAAAAACUUUGUAAUUUUUUAAAAUUCAUAAUUCAAAACAUGCAUAAGAAAUUUAAAAAAUAUUUCACUUAUCUAUUGAGAAAAAGUCUAAUAUUUUGUUCAAAUGUUGGAUUAUUUCUUUCUCCAAUAUUUAUGCUAAGUUUCUAAUUCCAAGAUCUCUCUCUCUUGAAUCAUUAAUUUUUUUUCAUAAUUUGUGUAAUUGUUAGUGUUUAUUUCAAAUAUUAAUCUAUUAACUUUCAAUUCAAUCUAACUGAUUGAUUGUUGCAAAUUU